This is a non-coding RNA of Ictidomys tridecemlineatus (thirteen-lined ground squirrel), 72 nucleotides long. Lineage: Eukaryota; Metazoa; Chordata; Mammalia; Rodentia; Sciuridae. The record is from Rfam.
GGGAGUGUAGUUCAGUGAUAGAGCCCUUGCCUAAUAUGCAUGAGGCCCUGGGUUCAAUCCCUAGCACCACCA